AACUCAUGGUGAGGGCACUGUCUCAAUAAAUAUUUGUAUCUCUCUCAUGCAUCAUAUAAGGUCUCUAAAUCGAUCUGAACAAAGGAAGAGAUAUCACUCCUCAACUU
Molecule: small nucleolar RNA, 107 nt
Filed under: Gossypium hirsutum (cotton)
Lineage: Eukaryota; Viridiplantae; Streptophyta; Magnoliopsida; Malvales; Malvaceae
Description: Plant small nucleolar RNA R71
Rfam family: Plant small nucleolar RNA R71
About the family: R71 is a member of the C/D box family of snoRNAs containing the C (UGAUGA) and D (CUGA) box motifs. Multiple nearly identical copies of this snoRNA have been identified in Arabidopsis, and it is thought to function as a 2'-O-ribose methylation guide for 18S ribosomal RNA.
Source: Rfam by way of RNAcentral